GUGAAACUGCGAAUGGCUCAUUAAAUCAGUUAUCGUUUAUUUGAUAGUACCUUACUACUUGGAUAACCGUGGUAAUUCUAGAGCUAAUACAUGCUGAAAACCCCAACUUCGGGAGGGGUGUAUUUAUUAGAUAAAAAACCAAUGCCCUUCGGGGCUUCUUGGUGAUUCAUAAUAACUUCUCAGAUCGCAUGGCCUUGCGCCGGCGACGGUUCAUUCAAAUUUCUGCCCUAUCAACUUUCGAUGGUAAGGUAUUGGCUUACCAUGGUUUCAACGGGUAACGGGGAAUUAGGGUUCGAUUCCGGAGAGGGAGCCUGAGAAACGGCUACCACAUCCAAGGAAGGCAGCAGGCGCGCAAAUUACCCAAUCCCGACACGGGGAGGUAGUGACAAUAAAUACUGAUACAGGGCUCUUUUGGGUCUUGUAAUUGGAAUGAGUACAAUUUAAACCUCUUAACGAGGAACAAUUGGAGGGCAAGUCUGGUGCCAGCAGCCGCGGUAAUUCCAGCUCCAAUAGCGUAUAUUAAAGUUGUUGCAGUUAAAAAGCUCGUAGUUGAACCUUUGGCCUGGCUGGCAGGUCCGCCUCACCGCGUGUACUUGUCCGGCCGGGCCUUCUUUUCUGGAGAACCGCAUGCCCUUCACUGGGUGUGUUGGGGACCAGGACUUUUACUUUGAAAAAAUUAGAGUGUUCAAAGCAGGCCUUUGCUCGAAUACGUUAGCAUGGAAUAAUAGAAUAGGACGUGCGGUCCUAUUUUGUUGGUUUCUAGGACCGCCGUAAUGAUUAAUAGGGACAGUCGGGGGCAUCAGUAUUCAAUUGUCAGAGGUGAAAUUCUUGGAUUUAUUGAAGACUAACUACUGCGAAAGCAUUUGCCAAGGAUGUUUUCAUUAAUCAGUGAACGAAAGUUAGGGGAUCGAAGACGAUCAGAUACCGUCGUAGUCUUAACCAUAAACUAUGCCGACUAGGGAUCGGGCGGUGUUUCUAUUUUGACUCGCUCGGCACC
Molecule: ribosomal RNA, 997 nt
Filed under: Leucaenicola sp.
Lineage: Eukaryota; Fungi; Ascomycota; Dothideomycetes; Pleosporales; Bambusicolaceae
Description: SSU rRNA
Rfam family: Eukaryotic small subunit ribosomal RNA
Source: RNAcentral